This 1434-nucleotide ribosomal RNA is filed under the name uncultured organism. Its description in RNAcentral is "SSU rRNA". It matches the Rfam family "Bacterial small subunit ribosomal RNA". The record is from RNAcentral.
ACGCUAGCGACAGGCUUAACACAUGCAAGUCGAGGGGCAGCACAGGUAGCAAUACCGGGUGGCGACCGGCGCACGGGUGAGUAACGCGUAUGCAACUUGCCUAUCAGAGGGGGAUAACCCGGCGAAAGUCGGACUAAUACCGCAUGAAGCAGGGAUCCCGCAUGGGAAUAUUUGCUAAAGAUUCAUCGCUGAUAGAUAGGCAUGCGUUCCAUUAGGCAGUUGGCGGGGUAACGGCCCACCAAACCGACGAUGGAUAGGGGUUCUGAGAGGAAGGUCCCCCACAUUGGUACUGAGACACGGACCAAACUCCUACGGGAGGCAGCAGUGAGGAAUAUUGGUCAAUGGCCGAGAGGCUGAACCAGCCAAGUCGCGUGAGGGAUGAAGGUUCUAUGGAUCGUAAACCCCUUUUAUAAGGGAAUAAAGUGCGGGACGUGUCCCGUUUUGUAUGUACCUUAUGAAUAAGGAUCGGCUAACUCCGUGCCAGCAGCCGCGGUAAUACGGAGGAUCCGAGCGUUAUCCGGAUUUAUUGGGUUUAAAGGGUGCGUAGGCGGCCUUUUAAGUCAGCGGUGAAAGUCUGUGGCUCAACCAUAGAAUUGCCGUUGAAACUGGGGGGCUUGAGUAUGUUUGAGGCAGGCGGAAUGCGUGGUGUAGCGGUGAAAUGCAUAGAUAUCACGCAGAACCCCGAUUGCGAAGGCAGCCUGCCAAGCCAUGACUGACGCUGAUGCACGAAAGCGUGGGGAUCAAACAGGAUUAGAUACCCUGGUAGUCCACGCAGUAAACGAUGAUCACUAGCUGUUUGCGAUACACUGUAAGCGGCACAGCGAAAGCGUUAAGUGAUCCACCUGGGGAGUACGCCGGCAACGGUGAAACUCAAAGGAAUUGACGGGGGCCCGCACAAGCGGAGGAACAUGUGGUUUAAUUCGAUGAUACGCGAGGAACCUUACCCGGGUUUGAACGCAUUCGGACCGAGGUGGAAACACCUUUUCUAGCAAUAGCCGUUUGCGAGGUGCUGCAUGGUUGUCGUCAGCUCGUGCCGUGAGGUGUCGGCUUAAGUGCCAUAACGAGCGCAACCCUUGCCACUAGUUACUAACAGGUGAUGCUGAGGACUCUGGUGGGACUGCCAGCGUAAGCUGCGAGGAAGGCGGGGAUGACGUCAAAUCAGCACGGCCCUUACAUCCGGGGCGACACACGUGUUACAAUGGCGUGGACAAAGGGAAGCCACCUGGCGACAGGGAGCGAAUCCCCAAACCACGUCUCAGUUCGGAUCGGAGUCUGCAACCCGACUCCGUGAAGCUGGAUUCGCUAGUAAUCGCGCAUCAGCCAUGGCGCGGUGAAUACGUUCCCGGGCCUUGUACACACCGCCCGUCAAGCCAUGGGAGCCGGGGGUACCUGAAGUCCGUAACCGCGAGGAUCGGCCUAGGGUAAAACUGGUGA